RNAcentral lists this ribosomal RNA (521 nucleotides) under uncultured bacterium. RNAcentral's name for it is "bacterial SSU rRNA". It matches the Rfam family "Bacterial small subunit ribosomal RNA", at positions 8 to 526 of the family's 1533-position model. The record is from RNAcentral.
AGAGUUUGAUCAUGGCUCAGGACGAACGCUGGCGGCGUGCCUAAUACAUGCAAGUCGAGCGGACUCUUGGCUUUCCUUCGGGAAAGCCCUGGGUUAGCGGCGGACGGGUGAGUAACACGUAGGUAACCUGCCGGUCAGAUCGGAAUAACCCACGGAAACGUGAGCUAAAACCGGAUAGAGGGGAAUCUCGCAUGAGAAGCCCCGGAAAGGCGGAGCAAUCUGUCGCUGAUCGAUGGGCCUGCGGCGCAUUAGCUAGUUGGAGAGGUAACGGCUCCCCAAGGCGACGAUGCGUAGCCGACCUGAGAGGGUGAACGGCCACACUGGGACUGAGACACGGCCCAGACUCCUACGGGAGGCAGCAGUAGGGAAUCUUCGGCAAUGGACGCAAGUCUGACCGAGCAACGCCGCGUGAGGGAUGACGGCCUUCGGGUUGUAAACCUCUUUCACCGAUGACGAAGCGCGAGUGACGGUAGUCGGAGAAGAAGCACCGGCCAACUACGUGCCAGCAGCGGCGGUAAUUC